ACGGAAUAGCUCAGUUGGGAGAGCGUUAGACUGAAGUUGUUUACGCAACAGUCAUCUGAAGGCCCCCGGUUCAAUCCCAGGUUCGUA
This 87-nucleotide transfer RNA is filed under the name Dreissena polymorpha. Its description in RNAcentral is "tRNA-Phe". It matches the Rfam family "tRNA", at positions 5 to 66 of the family's 71-position model. From Rfam's summary of the family: Transfer RNA (tRNA) molecules are approximately 80 nucleotides in length. Their secondary structure includes four short double-helical elements and three loops (D, anti-codon, and T loops). Lineage: Eukaryota; Metazoa; Mollusca; Bivalvia; Myida; Dreissenidae. The record is from RNAcentral.